AUGGCUGCUAACAAGCCUGCCGCCGCUGGUCCUCAUAAGCUGGAGAUGGGCGCCUUCCAACCCUGCGUGUGGGGUGACUUCUUCAUCACCUACAACCCUCCCCUCUCGCAGAGCUCAGAGAUGAGGAUGCGAGAGAGGGCGGAACAACUCAAGGUCCAAGUGCGCGCCCUGUUAGAGGACAGCAAAAACAGGAGCGUGGCUGAUGCUGUGACACUGGUGGAAACGCUCGAGCGGCUCGGCAUCAACAACCACUUCCGUGGGGAGAUUGGCACGGUACUAAGGCAUGUGCUAAACGAGGAGCCGGAGUUUCCAGCUAGCUCUGACGACCUCCACAUCGCCGCUCUUCGGUUUCGCCUACUUAGGCAGCAUGGGUUCUGGGUAUCUGCAGACAUAUUCGACAAGUUCAAAGAUCAGACAGGAAAUUUCAGCACAAGCCUAUGCAGUGACCUAGUGAGCCUUCUGAGCCUUUAUAAUGCAGCGCACCUGGCGACGCCUGGUGAGGAUGCACUAAGUGACGUGAUCGUCUUUUCGAGGUACCACCUCGAGGCAAUGAGAAACAAGCUUAGGCCACCAAUGGCGGAACAAGUCUCACGUGCCCUCGACAUUCCUCUCCCACGGACCGUCAGGCGGUUGGAAACAAUGCACUACAUAAAGGAGUAUGAGAAGGACGAGUCUAACAACGGCCCGCUGUUGGAGCUCUCCCGACUUGACUUCGAACUGGUCAGGUCCCUUCACCUCAAGGAGCUUAGGGCUCUAUCUUUGUGGUGGAGAGAUCUUUAUGACAAUGUGAAGCUAAGCUAUGCCCGGGAUCGUCUAGUGGAGAACUAUUUCUGGACAUGCAGCGUGUUCCAUGAGGAGGAGUACUCACGCGCACGGCUGAUGUUUGCAAAGACGUUCGGUCUGCUAUCCCUGAUGGAUGACACCUACGAUGUCCACGCGACCCUGGAGGAUUGCUAUAAACUCAAUGAAGCUAUACAAAGGUGGGAUUUUUUGCAAAAUAAUAGUGCUUACUUAGGCCAAUCGCUGAACUAA
This 1032-nucleotide ribosomal RNA is filed under the name Triticum aestivum (bread wheat). Its description in RNAcentral is "partial small subunit ribosomal RNA". Lineage: Eukaryota; Viridiplantae; Streptophyta; Magnoliopsida; Poales; Poaceae. The record is from RNAcentral.